GCUUUAGUAGUAUAGUAAUAGUACGCUAGAGUAUUAAGUUUAAUUUUAAAAAGCUAUAGCGUUUUUUAAUAUUAAGCUUGAUUUUUUGGAAGCGCGAGUUCGAUUUUCGACUAAGGCU
Non-coding RNA from Xylaria acuta, 118 nucleotides. The record is from the annotation of a GenBank genome assembly. Lineage: Eukaryota; Fungi; Ascomycota; Sordariomycetes; Xylariales; Xylariaceae.